RNAcentral lists this ribosomal RNA (274 nucleotides) under uncultured bacterium. RNAcentral describes it as "partial 16S ribosomal RNA". It matches the Rfam family "Bacterial small subunit ribosomal RNA", at positions 523 to 796 of the family's 1533-position model. The record is from RNAcentral.
AGACGUAGGGACCAAGCGUUGUUCGGAUUUACUGGGCGUAAAGGGUGCGUAGGCGGCGUGAUAAGUCACUUGUGAAAUCUCCGAGCUUAACUCGGAACAGCCAAGUGAUACUAUUGUGCUAGAGUGCAGAAAGGGCAACUGGAAUUCCAGGUGUAGCGGUGAAAUGCGUAGAUAUCUGGAAGAACACCGGAAGCGAAGGCGGCUUUCUGGCCUGCCACUGACGCUAAAGCGCGAAAGCUUGGGUAGCAAACAGGAUUAGAAACCCCAGUAGUCC